CCUCACAGACCCCAAUACCCAGUUCUUCUCCACUUCAACCCAGACUGCUCAUCUGUCCCUUGGAGCUAGGUGUGGCCAUGGGACUUGCUUUGGCCAAUGAAACUCCGGCAAAAGUGCAGAGUGUCACUCUCAAGUGGAAGCACCUGACUUGCAGUGGCUCUCCAGUGGCUCUGGUUUCGGGGGCUGCAUGUUCCAGAAAACAUACAGGUUGGUGGAGAUUUCUUCUGCCCUGGAUCCCCAGUCUUCACAUGCAGGACCGCCUGUGAGAUUUGGGGUUGUUUGUUACUGCAGCAUAACACAAACUAUCCCUGCCCUUCUCCGCAGACAAGAGGAGGCUCUGGCCAAGCCAAGCGAGGCUCUUGACUAAUGUGUCCCAGGAGCCGAGGUAUGACAUUUCUUUCCUUGAAGGCUAGGCUUUUGCUUCUCGGUAUUCAGAAGCUGGGAUCCUUUUCUAUCCACACGAGGUUCCAGCAAGCCCAGCCAGGCGUUCUGCUCCUGCAGAUGGCAGGUAUUACGUUGGCUCAUUCAUCUCUCCUCUUCAUUCCAAACCCCUGAUGCCACCCCUGACUCCUGGGCUAGAGCUGUGACCGAGGUGAAGAUGGCAGUGCAUUCCAUGCCCCUGGCCACAGCAAGUGGAUCAGGAGCAGGCUCGUGACUUAAGCCAGGCCAGCAGAGUGAACCUCAGCAGUGAAUUCCCCUUGCUGGGAAUGCUGGGUCAUCUGGACAGUUUGGUGGUGGAUGUUAGGCCUGGAUCUGCAGCAGCCAUUUUGUUCUCAUGAGGGAAGUCAGCCUAUGGAAGAAGCUGACUCAUAGAGGCCAAGAGAAAUGUAACCCCAGCCUGGAAGACAUGGUGAACCUCAACGGACGAAGAUAGGCGCAUAUUCCAGCACUAAGAGAACAAAAGCAAUUCAUAUUGUCUUGGGUUGGCUGCUUUCAUCAUUCAGGCCUCAGUUUCCCCAUAUUCUGGGCAAUUCUGUUCCAUGGGAUACUUAGAAGGUCCUUGUGAUGUUCAAAUGAGAUCACGCAUGUGAAAACAGAGGAAACCCAACAUUCUGCUUAAGGGAUAUGGUGACAUGAUAACAUUUCAUUUAAUAUUGGUAAGUUGGGAGUUGUCACAAAUGCCA
Molecule: long non-coding RNA, 1124 nt
Organism: Sciurus carolinensis (gray squirrel)
Lineage: Eukaryota; Metazoa; Chordata; Mammalia; Rodentia; Sciuridae
Exons: 3
Source: RefSeq, a predicted model, not a curated record